AUUGAACGCUGGCGGCAGGCUUAACACAUGCAAGUCGAACGAGUGGCGGACGGGUGAGUAAUGCUUGGGAAUCUGGCUUAUGGAGGGGGAUAACGACGGGAAACUGUCGCUAAUACCGCGUACCAUAGGAUGAGCCCAAGUGGGAUUAGGUAGUUGGUGGGGUAAUGGCCUACCAAGCCGACGAUCUCUAGCUGGUGUGAGAGGAUGACCAGCCACACCGGGACUGAGUGACGGCCCGGACGCCUGCGGGAGGCAGUAGUAGGGAAUAUUGCGCAUAAGGGGCAACCCUGACGGCACCAUGCCGCGUGAAUGAAGAAGGCCUUCGGGUUGUAAAGUUCUGUCGGUAUUGAGGCGUUAAAUACAGAAGAAGAACCGGCUAACUCCGUGACAGCAGCCGCGGUAAUUC
Molecule: ribosomal RNA, 406 nt
Filed under: uncultured bacterium
Lineage: Bacteria
Description: partial 16S ribosomal RNA
Rfam family: Bacterial small subunit ribosomal RNA
Source: RNAcentral